UGUCCAAGUGGACAGCAAAUGAAGUUCAUGGCGCUGAUGGAGUUAAUGGCAGUGAGUCAGCUGGGACACUCGCAGCAGGUCAGCUGACACUCUUUCUUGCUGUCCAGAGCAUUUAGUCUGCUGGACAUGCGCCCAAGACUGAGAGCCGAGGUGGAUGACAGCAGUGUGCCUCUUGGUUGCCACCGGUUGCUUCGCUGUUCUCAGCUUUCAGGAUUUUUUUUAAAGAUGGAUUUUUGUCUAGCACAGUCAUGAACGGUGAUGGGAAGAACAGGCUGAGCAGCUGUUGACUGAAAUAACAGAGGGGUGGUUUGGUAUCUGGAAACGCUCAACACAAGUUGUCCUGCAGGCUUUGAUGAUGACUUUUGCAUAUAAAAUUAUGGGUCAGAAGCAGGAAGCUGAGUGCUCCUUAUGCCAAAGUGUCUCGCUUGGCAAAGUUUACUUGGUACUUGAAGGCACUGAACAAUUUCCUGAGGGGCCCGGUCCUUUGAGAAUGUAUAUUCCAAGAUAAUUGCUGUCUGUUUCUAUAGAACUCUGGAAGUCUGUGUUCGUGGGAAUUUCACAAGGACAGAGGGCAAGAAGCCGAUAAAUUUAUAAAACACCUAAAGUGAAGAAAAGAAAGAAUCUAAUCCAAUUUCAAGUCACUGUGUUGGAAACUGUCCUUACUCACAAACUGGGGCCUUGCCACUGGCAUGUGUCUGUCCAUAGCUUCAAGAUGAGUUUGGAGUGAAGAGGACACAGCAAGGAGGUUAAAUCGAGGCUUCCGGCAGUGCAGUGUCGUCAGUGCUUUCAUGCCAAGUGCUUUACAUUUUCACCCUGGACUGGCCUUCCAGCUAUUGUGGUUACCUUCACCACCUAACCUGUCACUUAUACCGAACAACAGUUUUACCUGUCCACACCGUGCCUCAUUCACCUAGGUAACACUUAAACCAAGGUUCUGGUUGCCAUUGUGAAAUGCUCCUAGCAAUUUCUCUUGUAAGGAAGAGUCAGCUUUUUAUAAAGAUGUCUUACUAUUUAUUGA
Long non-coding RNA from Chinchilla lanigera (long-tailed chinchilla), 1018 nucleotides. RefSeq lists it as uncharacterized. The record is from RefSeq and is a predicted model, not a curated record. The transcript has 3 exons. NCBI's taxonomy places the organism in Eukaryota, Metazoa, Chordata, Mammalia, Rodentia, Chinchillidae.